This is a long non-coding RNA of Centropristis striata (black sea bass), 570 nucleotides long. RefSeq lists it as uncharacterized. NCBI's taxonomy places the organism in Eukaryota, Metazoa, Chordata, Actinopteri, Perciformes, Serranidae. The record is from RefSeq and is a predicted model, not a curated record. The transcript is spliced from 3 exons.
UGUGGCUAAUGAAGCACAUAGUCACUCAUUAUCUGUGAGAGACAACACUUCCUGGCUUCAGACACUUCCUGGAUCGAGUUGCUAAUUUCUGGUCUUUGACUCGACCAGAUAACAACAUGCCGCCCCUGAAAAAUCAUCCGAUAAUAUCAGUCUAUUUUCAGACUGGCUGCACCUCAAGUGAAAACUGAGAGUACUUGAGGACAAUUCUACAACAUAGCCAGACCCUGAGUCACCGAGCCCCGGAAGUUACAGAUCACUGCGGAGACACAGAGACAGAAGGGGAAAACAUGAGAAAACAUGAGAAAAUCUGAGACUCUACUCACAUUUUAGGAACAUGGUGACCAAAAUAAACAGCUGCAACGUGACAUUUGGGUUUCUGAAUUAUUUAUAUUCAUUAUCAAUACAUCUAGAGAUCAUUAUUUAAUACUCAGCAGCACAUUUCUUGAGCCACAUGAACACCAAGCUGUGACAGCAGCGUGAUGUAAGUCCGGGCUGCACUGUAGCAGCCGUGUUGAUGCUAAUAAUCCUCAUGAAUGCAGCAGUGAAACCCAGAAAACAACAGACUCAGAG